This 984-nucleotide ribosomal RNA is filed under the name Stagonospora sp. Its description in RNAcentral is "SSU rRNA". It matches the Rfam family "Eukaryotic small subunit ribosomal RNA", at positions 108 to 1101 of the family's 1831-position model. Lineage: Eukaryota; Fungi; Ascomycota; Dothideomycetes; Pleosporales; Massarinaceae. The record is from RNAcentral.
AGUUAUCGUUUAUUUGAUAGUACCUUACUACUUGGAUACCUGUGGUAAUUCUAGAGCUAAUACAUGCUAAAAACCCCGACUUCGGAAGGGGUGUAUUUAUUAGAUAAAAAACCAAUGCCCUUCGGGGCUCCUUGGUGAUUCAUAAUAACUUCUCAGAUCGCAUGGCCUUGCGCCGGCGACGGUUCAUUCAAAUUUCUGCCCUAUCAACUUUCGAUGGUAAGGUAUUGGCUUACCAUGGUGGCAACGGGUAACGGGGAAUUAGGGUUCGAUUCCGGAGAGUUAGCCUGAGAAACGGCUAACACAUCCAAGGAAGGCAGCAGGCGCGCAAAUUACCCAAUCCCGAUACGGGGAGGUAGUGACAAUAAAUACUGAUACAGGGCUCUUUUGGGUCUUGUAAUUGGAAUGAGUACAAUUUAAACCUCUUAACGAGGAACAAUUGGAGGGCAAGUCUGGUGCCAGCAGCCGCGGUAAUUCCAGCUCCAAUAGCGUAUAUUAAAGUUGUUGCAGUUAAAAAGCUCGUAGUUGAACCUUUGGCCUGGCUGGCAGGUCCGCCUCACCGCGUGCACUUGUCCGGCCGGGCCUUUUCUUCUGGAGAACCACAUGCCCUUCACUGGGUGUGUUGGGGACCAGGACUUUUACUUUGAAAAAAUUAGAGUGUUCAAAGCAGGCCUUUGCUCGAAUAUUACAGCAUGGAAUAAUAGAAUAGGACGUGCGGUUCUAUUUUGUUGGUUUCUAGGACCGCCGUAAUGAUUAAUAGGGACAGUCGGGGGCAUCAGUAUUCAAUUGUCAGAGGUGAAAUUCUUGGAUUUAUUGAAGACUAACUACUGCGAAAGCAUUUGCCAAGGAUGUUUUCAUUAAUCAGUGAACGAAAGUUAGGGGAUCGAAGACGAUCAGAUACCGUCGUAGUCUUAACCAUAAACUAUGCCGACUAGGGAUCGGGCGGUGUUACUAUUUUGACUCGCUCGGCACCUUACGAGAAAUCAA